RNAcentral lists this ribosomal RNA (468 nucleotides) under uncultured bacterium. RNAcentral's name for it is "partial 16S ribosomal RNA". It matches the Rfam family "Bacterial small subunit ribosomal RNA", at positions 28 to 507 of the family's 1533-position model. The record is from RNAcentral.
GACGAACGCUGGCGGCGUGCUUAACACAUGCAAGUCGAACGGAAAGGCCCUGCUUUUGUGGGGUGCUCGAGAGGCGAACGGGUGAGUAACACGUGAGUAACCUGCCCUUGACUUUGGGAUAACUUCAGGAAACUGGGGCUAAUACCGGAUAGGAGCUCCUGCUGCAUGGUGGGGGUUGGAAAGUUUCGGCGGUUGGGGAUGGACUCGCGGCUUAUCAGCUUGUUGGUGGGGUAGUGGCUUACCAAGGCUUUGACGGGUAGCCGGCCUGAGAGGGUGACCGGCCACAUUGGGGCUGAGAUACGGCCCAGACUCCUACGGGAGGCAGCAGUGGGGAAUAUUGCACAAUGGGCGGAAGCCUGAUGCAGCAACGCCGCGUGCGGGAUGACGGCCUUCGGGUUGUAAACCGCUUUCGCCUGUGACGAAGCGUGAGUGACGGUAAUGGGUAAAGAAGCACCGGCUAACUACGUG